GACGAACGCUGGCGGCGUGCUUAACACAUGCAAGUCGAACGGAAAGGCUCCAGCUUGCUGGAGUUCUCGAGGGGCGAACGGGUGAGUAACACGUGGGUAAUCUGCCCUGCACUUUGGGAUAAGCCUGGGAAACUGGGUCUAAUACAGGAUAUGACCUUUCCCCCGAGGGGGUUCGGGGGAAAGUGUUUCGGUGUAGGAUGGGCCGGCGGCCUAUCGGCUUGGCGGGGGGGUGAUGGCAUCCCAAGGCGAAGACGGGUACCCGGCCUGAGAGGGUGGGCGGCCACAUUGGGCCUGCGGUACGGCCCAGACUCCUACGGGAGGCAGCGGUGGGGAGUAUUGCACAAUGGGCGGACGCGUGAUACGGAGACGCCGCGUGAGGGAUGACGGCCUUCGGGUUGUAAACAUCUUUCGGCUGAGACGAAGCGUAAGUGACGGUACCUGAAGAAGAAGCACCGGCUAACUAUGUG
RNAcentral lists this ribosomal RNA (467 nucleotides) under uncultured bacterium. Its description in RNAcentral is "partial 16S ribosomal RNA". It matches the Rfam family "Bacterial small subunit ribosomal RNA", at positions 28 to 507 of the family's 1533-position model. The record is from RNAcentral.